UUGCAGAUCCAGAUGGAUUGUAGAGGCAGCAUUUCUGCUCAGUUCAGUGAACCAUGGACAAGCCUUCCUGCUCCGAUGUAGGAGAAAACAUGUCAGGAGGUAUAAAAUGAGCUGUUUGGACAACUUGUUUCUUCAGGAAAAUGGCUUAGGAUCUUCCUAUGUUGCCCAAGUGGCCCUGAACACCUAGGUGCAAGCAGUUCUCUCAUUCAGCUUCCUGAACACCUGGGACAAUGGGCACAUGCC
Nannospalax galili (Upper Galilee mountains blind mole rat) is the source of this 243-nucleotide long non-coding RNA. RefSeq lists it as uncharacterized. The record is from RefSeq and is a predicted model, not a curated record. NCBI's taxonomy places the organism in Eukaryota, Metazoa, Chordata, Mammalia, Rodentia, Spalacidae. The transcript is spliced from 3 exons.